Molecule: ribosomal RNA, 639 nt
Filed under: uncultured Akkermansia sp.
Lineage: Bacteria; Pseudomonadati; Verrucomicrobiota; Verrucomicrobiia; Verrucomicrobiales; Akkermansiaceae
Description: bacterial SSU rRNA
Rfam family: Bacterial small subunit ribosomal RNA
Source: RNAcentral
GAAUUCACUAGUGAUUUGGCGGCGUGGUUAAGACAUGCAAGUCGAACGAGAGAAUUGCUAGCUUGCUAAUAAUUCUCUAGUGGCGCACGGGUGAGUAACACGUGAGUAACCUGCCCCCGAGAGCGGGAUAGCCCUGGGAAACUGGGAUUAAUACCGCAUAGUAUCGAAAGAUUAAAGCAGCAAUGCGCUUGGGGAUGGGCUCGCGGCCUAUUAGUUAGUUGGUGAGGUAACGGCUCACCAAGGCGAUGACGGGUAGCCGGUCUGAGAGGAUGUCCGGCCACACUGGAACUGAGACACGGUCCAGACACCUACGGGUGGCAGCAGUCGAGAAUCAUUCACAAUGGGGGAAACCCUGAUGGUGCGACGCCGCGUGGAGGAAUGAAGGUCUUCGGAUUGUAAACCCCUGUCAUGUGGGAGCAAAUUAAAAAGAUAGUACCACAAGAGGAAGAGACGGCUAACUCUGUGCCAGCAGCCGCGGUAAUACAGAGGUCUCAAGCGUUGUUCGGAAUCACUGGGCGUAAAGCGUGCGUAGGCUGUUUCGUAAGUCGUGUGUGAAAGGCGCGGGCUCAACCCGCGGACGGCACAUGAUACUGCGAGACUAGAGUAAUGGAGGGGGAACCGGAAUUCACGGUGUAGCAA